This 97-nucleotide ribosomal RNA is filed under the name uncultured bacterium. RNAcentral describes it as "partial 16S ribosomal RNA". It matches the Rfam family "Bacterial small subunit ribosomal RNA", at positions 1388 to 1482 of the family's 1533-position model. The record is from RNAcentral.
CACCGCCCGUCACACCAUGGGAGGCGAUUGCUCCAGAAGUGGCUGCGCCAACCCGCAAGGGAGGCAGGUCCCCAAGGAGUGAUCGGUAACUGGGGUG